UACGUAGGGUGCAAGCGUUGUCCGGAAUUAUUGGGCGUAAAGAGCUCGUAGGCGGUCUGUCGCGUCGGCUGUGAAAACUCGGGGCUCAACUCCGAGCUUGCAGUCGAUACGGGCAGGCUAGAGUUCGGCAGGGGAGACUGGAAUUCCUGGUGUAGCGGUGAAAUGCGCAGAUAUCAGGAGGAACACCGGUGGCGAAGGCGGCGUCCUGGACCAACACUGACACUGAUGAGCGAAAGCCAGGGGAGCAAACGGG
This 253-nucleotide ribosomal RNA is filed under the name uncultured bacterium. RNAcentral describes it as "partial 16S ribosomal RNA". It matches the Rfam family "Bacterial small subunit ribosomal RNA", at positions 524 to 776 of the family's 1533-position model. The record is from RNAcentral.